RNAcentral lists this ribosomal RNA (1260 nucleotides) under Faucicola osloensis. RNAcentral's name for it is "bacterial SSU rRNA". It matches the Rfam family "Bacterial small subunit ribosomal RNA", at positions 132 to 1387 of the family's 1533-position model. Lineage: Bacteria; Pseudomonadati; Pseudomonadota; Gammaproteobacteria; Moraxellales; Moraxellaceae. The record is from RNAcentral.
AGUAGUGGGGGAUAGCUCGGGGAAACUCGAAUUAAUACCGCAUACGACCUACGGGUGAAAGGGGGCGCAAGCUCUUGCUAUUAGAUGAGCCUAAAUCAGAUUAGCUAGUUGGUGGGGUAAAGGCCCACCAAGGCGACGAUCUGUAACUGGUCUGAGAGGAUGAUCAGUCACACCGGAACUGAGACACGGUCCGGACUCCUACGGGAGGCAGCAGUGGGGAAUAUUGGACAAUGGGGGCAACCCUGAUCCAGCCAUGCCGCGUGUGUGAAGAAGGCCUUUUGGUUGUAAAGCACUUUAAGCAGGGAGGAGAGGCUAAUGGUUAAUACCCAUUAGAUUAGACGUUACCUGCAGAAUAAGCACCGGCUAACUCUGUGCCAGCAGCCGCGGUAAUACAGAGGGUGCGAGCGUUAAUCGGAAUUACUGGGCGUAAAGCGAGUGUAGGUGGCUCAUUAAGUCACAUGUGAAAUCCCCGGGCUUAACCUGGGAACUGCAUGUGAUACUGGUGGUGCUAGAAUAUGUGAGAGGGAAGUAGAAUUCCAGGUGUAGCGGUGAAAUGCGUAGAGAUCUGGAGGAAUACCGAUGGCGAAGGCAGCUUCCUGGCAUAAUAUUGACACUGAGAUUCGAAAGCGUGGGUAGCAAACAGGAUUAGAUACCCUGGUAGUCCACGCCGUAAACGAUGUCUACUAGCCGUUGGGGGUCCUUGAGACUUUAGUGGCGCAGUUAACGCCGAUAAGUAGACCGCCUGGGGGAGUACGGCCGCCAAGGUUAAAACUCAAAUGAAAUUGACGGGGGCCCGCACAAGCGGUGGAGCAUGUGGUUUAAUUCGAUGCAACGCGAAGAACCUUACCUGGUCUUGACAUAGUGAGAAUCCUGCAGAGAUGCGGGAGUGCCUUCGGGAAUUCACAUACAGGUGCUGCAUGGCUGUCGUCAGCUCGUGUCGUGAGAUGUUGGGUUAAGUCCCGCAACGAGCGCAACCCUUUUCCUUAUUUGCCAGCGGGUUAAGCCGGGAACUUUAAGGAUACUGCCAGUGACAAACUGGAGGAAGGCGGGGACGACGUCAAGUCAUCAUGGCCCUUACGACCAGGGCUACACACGUGCUACAAUGGUAGGUACAGAGGGUUGCUACACAGCGAUGUGAUGCUAAUCUCAAAAAGCCUAUCGUAGUCCGGAUUGGAGUCUGCAACUCGACUCCAUGAAGUCGGAAUCGCUAGUAAUCGCAGAUCAGAAUGCUGCGGUGAAUACGUUCCCGGGCCUUGUACA